RNAcentral lists this ribosomal RNA (433 nucleotides) under uncultured bacterium. RNAcentral describes it as "partial 16S ribosomal RNA". It matches the Rfam family "Bacterial small subunit ribosomal RNA", at positions 29 to 507 of the family's 1533-position model. The record is from RNAcentral.
AACGAACGCUGGCGGCAGGCCUAACACAUGCAAGUCGAGCGAGGACUUCGGUUCUAGCGGCGGACGGGUGAGUAACGCGUGGGAAUGUGCCCUUCUCUACGGAAUAGCCCUGGGAAACUGGGAGUAAUACCGUAUACGCCCUAUUGGGGAAAGAUUUAUCGGAGAAGGAUCAGCCCGCGUUGGAUUAGGUAGUUGGUGGGGUAAUGGCCAACCAAGCCGACGAUCCAUAGCUGGUUUGAGAGGAUGAUCAGCCACACUGGGACUGAGACACGGCCCAGACUCCUACGGGAGGCAGCAGUGGGGAAUCUUAGACAAUGGGGGCAACCCUGAUCUAGCCAUGCCGCGUGAGUGAUGAAGGCCUUAGGGUUGUAAAGCUCUUUCAGCUGGGAAGAUAAUGACGGUACCAGCAGAAGAAGCCCCGGCUAACUCCGUG